AGGAAAGUUUGGUUUUGUUUUUUUUUUUCCCCUCCCGGUGGUGUUUUUUGGACGGCGCCGGCGGAGCGGGGGGGGGUACGCUUUUCGCAGCUUCUUCGCCUUUUGCUUCCUGGGGUUCGUGUUUCCCGGGCGGGCGGAGCCGCCCCCGGCACUGAGAAGAACGGGGGCUCAGCGCACCGCGGCGGCGCCUCGGCGGGUUUUGUUUUUGCACUGAAUGUAGCCAGUACGGAUCCUUGUGGGCUUUGGCAGCCCUUGGAAACUGUCACAGGCAGUAUUUUGCAUUUCUGCAGAGCUUUGCACAGAUCCUGUUCCCAUGCAGACUGAUGAGGGAGAAAUACUGGAGGAAGGCAGUCCCAAGAUGGAACAUGAGGAUUUUGUAAUGGAGGGGCAUGGCAAGACUCCACCUCCUGGUGAAGAAAACAAACAGAAGAAGAGGGCCUUGUCCUAGAAGUACUUCAGUGAUGGCUGUAUUCUGUAUGGUCUUCAUUAGUUAAUGCAAUGUAUUACUUACUUGCAGUGGGAAUUAGCUGGACAUCAACAUACUGGACUGGGUUUUUGAAAGAGGACAGAGGGGAGCUCUGGAGCAUCUGGCAGAGGAGAAGCAAAGAAGACUGUGUCUGUUUAGCCUUGAGAUAAGAAAACUGGGGAGGAUAUUAUUAUUCAUGUGUCUAUCUGAUGAGGAGACUAAGGAAGACUGAGCCAAAUUCUUCACAGUGGUGCCUGGUGGAGAGGCAAGAAGCCAUUGGCAUAAACUGAAAUACAGGAAGCUCCACUCAAACACAAGGGAAAAAUGUUCUUUUUUUACUGUUAAAAAUGGUCAGACCUUUAGAAGAGGUUACCCAGAAAAGUUGUGACCUCUAAGUGACUCAAAACUCAGCUGAGCACAACCCCAAUUCUGCUUCAACCUGCUUUAGUUAACCAUGCCUUGAGCAAAGGCAUGGGAUUGAUGGUAUCAGAGAUCCAUCCAUCUGCAGUGAUUCUGUGAUUUGUUGUACCCAUAUCUACUGUUAUCCUCCUGGUUGGUUUGAAAUAAAAUUGGAGCUUCUUAGUGAAAGGUAGGUUCUAAGUUUGAAUGUAGAGUCAGAUGUUCUCCACAGAAAUAGCUGAUCCACUGAAGAUGCUUCCUUCCCUUUCCAGCUGUCAUUAGACUUAGUAGAAUUUACUGCCUCUACAGCUAUGCAGAUGGAAUGGUUUUUCUUUGACUACUUCUAAUUUACUUUUCAGGAAAGUUUACCAUUGUAAUUUAAUUGUCUUUCGUUAGGCAGCCUGAUCUGGGUAUCUCUGCACUGGGAUUAUUGAGGAAGUGUUCAGAAGAUACGGUUUCAGCAAGGGAGCAAACUUGCACCGGAGCUCCAGAGCAAUCUGCUAGUAUUGACCUCCUAGGAAAGCCCUGCAAAUUUCUUACUAUUUGUCUGCAUUUCAAUGGGCUCAAAACUUUACCGGACAAUGAAAGAACCGAAAUAAAAAGAUACUUUUGAGAGACUUUUGAUGGAUGCAAUAGUUCUUACCUAGGCCCUGUUUUAUGUGGUAUUUCCUUUACUAAAGUAUAGCUUCAAAACUGAAUAUAAGGAGCCAGCAUCCAUGGAUGAUGUCUGGCACUUUAUGAAACAGAUUUUUUCCCCAGUUUGACUUGGAGAUAAAAACUUGGCAUUUUUGCCUUGUAGUAUUAAACAAAGAUACAAAAAUGCAAACAAACCCAGCAACAACAAACAACCCUGCUGUAAUGUUGUGAGCCCUUUCUACUGUACUGGACAGUUCUUUUGGACAGAUACUAAAGUUACAACAUUUUUUAAGACUUUUAAUUGAGCUGUAGGUGAUACCUGAGAAAUGCUGUCUUCUGAUAGCUGUCACCUUUAUAGGAAGGAAUUACCUGGUUAAACUGUAUACAAGGUCUUCAGAAAUCUUCAACUGAUCUUUCACAGUAUGGAUAUAACUUAUUUCAAUUUAAGCUAAUUAUGAUGAAGUUACCUAUUCAAAAUCCUUAGUACAAGUGAGAAAGUGAAUGGGCACAGUCAUCUCAGUCCUGUGAAAGAUUUGCAUCUAUGUGCAGUGCAUAUGUCACAAAAGAUGUCAUGGUUGUGCAGCAGUCAAGUGAUGUAUGCUAAAAACUGAACUUCAGAAGGAGUGAGCCUGCUGGGACUGCUGGAGCAGAUCAUGGCCAUCUCACACCUUGCUCCUGCUCUGGCUGAGGACCAGUGACUCCUUGAUAAAUUGUUACUUCUCAGUUUUUAUGUACUCUGUAACCUCCCUUCUUAGCUGUCUGGCAUGGGAUAUCACUGUGUGUUAUACUUGGUCACAUUAUUUUUUUUAUGUGGACAAUACAUUUGGUAAGAAUGUUUCCUUCCUUCCUUCCCAAUAGAGAAAAAUUACAUUAUGCUUAAUUACAGGUGAACAUUUUGUUAGAGGUGUUCUCUCAUAUUUUCAUCCAUUACAACAAGGUUGACCUGAACUGGCAUGCUUAGGGAGUAAAUACUCCCCCCACAAAAUACUUACGUUUUACAUGGCAUCAUCCUAUUGUGCCCUUAUCAAUUGUAAUAGGGCUUUUACUUUGCUACUGCUGGAGCAAAGAUUAAGAGGAAAAUGUGAUCCAGAGACAUCUUUCCAAAACAGUCAAACUUCUGUUGAUGAGCAUGGGGCAACCACCGGGGCAGGAAGAAGAAUUCUGCUCAAGUCCUUAAAUUGAGGUUCUGCUCCUGGCUCUAGCAGCAUUAAUUAGCAACUCUCCUUGUGCUAAUAAAUUACCACCUGCUGUCAUAACCAGAAAUGUGUGCACCUUAAUGAGUGAACGGGACUGGGUAGUGAAAAAUUAUUCCUUUUUAUAAGAUAAAUGUAAAUGUUUUACUCUUCCUAACUGACACAUGGAGAGGUCUGUUUGACAGUAGCAAUUCAGACAAAAAGUGAGCCAAAUUCUUACUCACAUCUGGUAGGAAGGUAAGCCAAGCUGCUCCUGCUGUUUGAAGUACCUCAGCUGGCUGUUCCCUAUCUGCUUUUUUGUAGUAACGGGAGAGAAAAGUCUUCAACUAUCUUGACAAUUUGUACAUCUGGAAGUGAUUCACAUUGUAAGAAAGGUAUCAAAACAAGAUAAUUUCUGUAAUUUAGAAAGUUAGAUCUACUGAAUAGGCUUUUCCCUGGCUUGAUAGUUUAAUGUACAGAUUCUGAGGCAAGUGUUUUUGAUGAAACCCCCCAAAAUUGUACUAAUGCCAGGAUAAGAUUGCAAUCACUGAGCAUCACAAAAUUGUUUAACAUUUGGUACUAGUAUCUUAUUUUUCUUUGAUAUUUAAGCACCCUCACAGUGAAGAAAACUUCCUAAUGUUCAGUAAGAAUUUAUGAUCAUUGCUUUUCAUCUUUGAAUGUGUGUAUCUGAACAUGGCCCAGUCUUCAUUAAAACUUGCCACUGUGUUCACUUAGCAGAAUAGCUUCCCCCUCCCCCUCGCUUAGUUUUGCUGUAUGGAAACUAAGUGAAAUCAAGAAGCCAGUCUACAGGCUAGUCUUUGUUUUCAGCAAGCUGCUAUGUCAAGGGCACGUGUAAACAUCACUGCUCUAAUAGCACAAAAGAACCUAUCUUACUCUUUCAUGGUGUUGCUGAAAACUAUAAAAAGGCUCCAGUGGUAUAUCCUGAAGUUGUCUGGUUUGGUUGGUGAGAAUGAUAGACACUGUUAUGAACUACUGCAGUGUUCUUUUGUACAGUUGAAAUUCCACAAAGGUGCCUAGCAUUGCUUCUGUUCCUUUAGGAUAAAACAUUGUUCUUACCAAAUUUAAAGUAAACAGUUAGCUAAAAGCUUUUGUAACACGGGUUUGUUUGAUGUUUUAAGGAUAUUCAAUAUUACAGAAGAUAUUGAGACUUGCCUUGAGUGGCAUUACACUUUUUAAAUUUACUGGCAGUACUAACCUCAGCAGAGGUUGUUUUUUGUCAGAAGAUCCAUGCUUUGAUUUUCAAAGUAGUAUCCAAAUCCUAAUUCAGAUUAUCAACUCAGAUUUGAGGUAUCUAAAUUUGCAUAGCAACCCAAAUUCUGUGAAAUUAAUGGUAAGUUAUUUCUUGAAUUACAUCCAAGAAUUAUGUAAAGGCAUAGCUAUUUUUAUAUUGCUGAUUGUUCUCUGUGUGUAGAAUAACUAGCCUGUUCAGGAAAUGUCCCCCCAAACAUUCAAGUCCUCUGCCUGAGAUCCUAACAAGUCAUGGGAUGUCUGUAUUGGCCAUAGCAGACCUCUCUGUCACAGGGUGUUGCAGCUCUGUUAGUGUGUCAGACUGUGCUUCAGACCCAGUGGUAACUCAGGCUCACUCUGAUCCUGGCAUGUGAGUAGGAGAGUUAUAACUUUUUUCUUUUAUACCCUUAGAGAUUUGAGAGGGUAUUUAAGGGUGUGAGACUAUUAGACUAAAACAAAAUGAAAAUCAGUCCAGCUAAGGAUUAAGGAAUGUUUUCAUGCCCUUCAUACUGUACAGAUGUUUUUAGUCCAUAUAGUGGAGUGAGUGACAGGACAAGUUUGUAUUUGAAGGCAGGUUUACCUGGAUGUUUAAUAGGGCCCUGAGGCAUAGAGAAAAAAUUGCCCUUUAUUUUGCAAUUGAGUGAGUAGAAAUGAAUGAGACAUGAGCAAAAUCUGUAUCUGUAGAGGCAGCUGUGUUUUAGCUGUGACUUGCAAGUCAACCAAGUUACAAAAGCUGACUUGCACCCUUACAAUAUACUACUUCUGAACAAUGUGCAGAAUUUAUACACGAGCACUUUAAAAUGGCAAAAGUUUCAUUGUCUUCCAUAUUUUACCAGUUCAGUGUUAAAUGCUUUGAAGUUUUUGUACUUAAAAUUUUAAGUGUUACCCACAGGAAGACUCUUGUUUGAAUAUUCUAAGCAAAAAUAUUUUAAAAUUAGGCAUUUCUUCUGAAGGUUAGACUUGCAAAAGUUUUCAAUUAUCAUUUCAUGAUUCUUAAGACUCUGCAUUUCAUGUCCUCGGUGAUUUUCUUUUUUUUUUUCCCUUUCAAACCAUGAACAAAUACAGGCUUUUCAUACACCUCAGCCAACCUACAGCUUAGUUUACUGCUGUUUUGCAAGUAUUUUCUUCAUAUGUGGAAAGAAACGGAAGCCAGAUGACCAACCGUUAAGAAAAAUAAAAAGGAAGUCACACAGAAAAAAGUCAACUUUGGAAGUGAAGUUCCCACUUAUUAUCACAAUGUGUUUAGUCUACACCACUGCUGAAUAUUGAAAGAGGAAAAUAUUUUGGACAGUGUACAUUCUAAGUGUGAAUGUUUUGGCAUUUCUUUGCUGAGGAUUUUAUGCUGCUCUCUUCCAGAUGUCUUGUGGUGAGAACAAGCUAGUUUGUUUGGGCUCUCCCCACCCCUAAGAUCUGCAUUUGUCCUGUGUAGGAAGUGCACAGAGCCUGCUUCUGAAUUUGCAGUCUCAUCUGACCAAGAGACUACUUCAUACUUGUCUUAGUGAAAAUAUAUUUUCUUAGUGAAA
Taeniopygia guttata (zebra finch) is the source of this 5444-nucleotide long non-coding RNA. NCBI's taxonomy places the organism in Eukaryota, Metazoa, Chordata, Aves, Passeriformes, Estrildidae. The record is from Ensembl.